CGGCGUGCUUAAUACAUGCAAGUCAACGACUUUUAGAGUAGCAAUAUUUUAAAGGAAGUGGCGCACGGGUGAGUAACACGUAGGUAAUCUGCCUUCAGGACUGACACAACUCGUCGAAAGACGGGCUAAUAUCAGAUAAUGCAGCGGCUCCGCAUGGAGACAGUUGUUAAAGUACAAGCGCCUGAAGAUGAGCCUGCGGUCCAUUAGCUAGUUGGUAGAGUAACAGCCUACCAAGGCAACGAUGGAUAGCUGGUCUGAGAGGAUGAUCAGCCACACUGGAACUGAGACACGGUCCAGACUCCUACGGGAGGCAGCAGUAAGGAAUAUUGCUCAAUGGCCGAAAGGCUGAAGCAGCGACGCCGCGUGAAGGAUGAAUGGCCUUUGGCCUGUAAACUUCUGUAAAAAGGGAAAAACAGUCAGGUACAUCCUGAUUUGAUUGUACCUUUGAAGUAAGCCCCGGCUAACUACGUG
Molecule: ribosomal RNA, 471 nt
Filed under: uncultured bacterium
Lineage: Bacteria
Description: bacterial SSU rRNA
Rfam family: Bacterial small subunit ribosomal RNA
Source: RNAcentral